AUGUUGACCGUUUAGGUCGUGGAAAGAGAAAGAAAAUUAGUUCUAUAAGAUCAUUGUUUUAAACUGCAGGUGUUGAAGUAGAUGAAUCAUUGGCCUCAAAGUCGGUUAUAGUUUUGAAAACAUUGCUCAGGAAAUGAAAAAACCACCAUCCAGAUCAUUAACGACUAAUGGAAAUCAUUACAAUUAAAAUAAUUCUAUCAUCACAUAUAACAAUCUGACUAAUGGUAUUGAUGAAAAUCUAUUCAAAUUCCAUAUGAUUCUGGUCUUAGUAAUUAUCCUACUUCAUAUGUUGAUAUGGAUAGUAAUAAUUUAACUGCUACAACAGUUACUUCUACUAUUUUGCCUGUAUUAAAUACCGUUAGUGACAUAUCUAUCCAAGGAAAAAAAUGUUCAUCUGAUCACUCUAGUCUUAAUAUUACAUUUUCAAUCACAGAAUUUUGAUAUGUGGAAACGUGAAAUGGUAUGUAAAUUGCAUGUAAAUGAAAGUAAUUUUAUUAUUACCAUCAUAAACAAGCAAACCAUGUUGGAGAACUAUAGCUAUUGGUAGUAAUUACAUUUACCUCAAUUUUUAA
Long non-coding RNA from Acyrthosiphon pisum (pea aphid), 572 nucleotides. RefSeq lists it as uncharacterized. The transcript is spliced from 4 exons. NCBI's taxonomy places the organism in Eukaryota, Metazoa, Arthropoda, Insecta, Hemiptera, Aphididae. The record is from RefSeq and is a predicted model, not a curated record.